GAAAUCGAGAACUCUUAAAAAAUAGAGAUCAGUUUGAUUUCUGAAAGUACAAUAUAUCGUUUCUCAUUAAUUGGUUGAGGAUGUACAAAUAUGUUACGUAACUAGUAUAGUAAGCUUGUAAUUAGAUUCGUUUAAUGUUGAUUCUAAUAUUAGAAUAUAAUUGAACUGGUGUCAGUGGGUGGACAUGUUCUAUAUUAGGAUCUAUUGAGAAUCUGUUGACGUGCAAUUAGUAAUCACUAUCUGUAAUAGCAAGUGGUUGAAAUUAAUACGGCUUCGAUCACUGGUGAUUAAUGCUGAUUAGAAGUUGUUUGCGGAAAUUGUUGUUGUCGUUGGACAAUGUUAAUUUAGGUUACGUGUUUGCGAGAAUUAGAGAACGCUUUGUAAGUGCGAAACUCGUAACCUGAAACCAAGUCAACUCAUGGUCAGAAUAAAGACCAUAGAGAUGGAGAAAGAUAAAAAGAAAACACGUACAGCUUGAUGGCCGAAAUUUCGACACGAAACAAAUCGAGGAUCGUUCGACGUGUAUCUGGUUAAUCGUCCGAGGAUUAAACGUCCGUCGCGGUGUCGUUAUGAAUAUUCAUAGAGUGGUCUUUUGUCGACGAACACUGCUUCUGCCCUGCCCCACCACGACAAGAUUUGUGCAUUAGGCAGAGGUAAACGCGAUUUUGGGCAACAUUUGACCGCUUUUUUACCGGCCAAGCCAUCCAACCGUCGCAGGCUGCGACAGAUCGCCAAAGACUUUAUGUAAUUGGAAUUUAUUUAUAGUAGCAUAGUAACAUGCAUUUGAUUUUUUGUAUUUGAUCUUAAUUUCUUAGGUUAUAUCACAUUGAUGUUGAUACAUUAAUCUAUAAAUUAGACCAGUUCUAAAGCAUACAGUUUUAAUCCACUUGUUCAAAAUUUAUUUUCUUUCACUACGGUAUAGUAAAGUAGAAAAUGCAAAUGAAAAACCUUUUCUCUUAAAAUCUAAACUAUACGAAAGUAAAUUACUUGCACAUUAAAUUAAUUACGCAGUGUAAAGUUUAGCUUGCAAAUGCUUUCAACUUAUAAAAUAGAAACUACUCAAAAAUACGUCAUUUAAAAAUUAAAUUGGGUACAUAGCAUAACAACUAAACUCACAUCUCUCAGUUCUGUAAACCUAACACGCAAGAUGCUUUUUGUCAUAAAUGUACCGGUGCAGGUGCUCUUCUUGGAAUAAAGGUUAAAGACCCUUGGUAUGGGGAGUUAAUUUUAGUAUGCAGGUAUUAUUUAGAAUUUUAUUACUUUUUGAGAUUAUAGCGUAAAUUCUGUACCGUUGAAUGCUGUGAGCACUUUAAUACUCGUGUAUUGAUAUUUUUUUCAUGUUGAUGUGGUUACGUUAAAGUAUCCCUAAUAAAAUGUUACUUUUCUUGUUUUUAGUGAAUUCUUGUGCUCGGUGUUGGUUUUUAAUGAACGUAGAAUUAAAUGGUACAAGGAGAAAGUCGAAGCAAAUGGUCGGAUAAGGUUUGACGUUGUUGAUUGGAAUUUUUAAAUGAGUGUGUUUCACUUUAUAGCAUUUGAAGUAAUAUAUGUAUAAUUAAGUACUUUUAGUAGCAAUUAAGGAGUUUGUAAUUGUACAAUUUCAAUUUUUUAGGACACGCAAAUUUCUGAUUCCUGUUAAAGGGAAUUUUUCUUUUUGGAGGAACAAUGAAAUAAUUUAAAUAAUUUGGUCAUUUAUUAAAAUGGACGUAUUUCGUGAUUAUUAAAAAUCUGAGUAUUCGUUAAAAUUGUAGAAUAUCUUCACAUGGUAGAAAUUGAAACGUGCUCGUUUCAAAAUUUCAGCUAAAUAUUUGCUCAAAAUUUCACGGUGUUUAAUAUUUUCUCAUAAGAAAUAUAUUUAUUUGAAAAACUAAAUCUUCCAAAACAUUUUAAUUUCUAAAAGCAUUACCAUGCAUCACGUUACACUUCUCUUAAAAUCAUGCUACAUUUCCAAGCAAUAAUUCUUGAACUAAAACAUAAUGUACGAAUUAUUCUUGGCCUAAACGCUCUGAAUAAUGUUUCUACUCGGUAUCUCAAACAAAUCUUCCACUAAAUUUGUUUGAAAUAACUGAAAUACCAUCUCGUAGACGUAACUUUCGCAAACAUUUGGAAUAUUCGGCUGUUUCAAACUAAUUUACAACGGCAGAAACAGAGUUUCACGGAGAUCCAAGGCUCGAUCCAAGAUCAGAGAAUUCGCGACUUCAUUUACCGACUGCGAGGCGUCUCGAAAGGAGGUCGUGUAGGGUUCACUGAAGACCCUGACUGUUCCAGAGCUCGAGUAUUAAAUAUUGCAGGCGCGGCAAACGAAAGCUACAACUCGACCGCUGCAUUCCGGGAGUUCUUUAGAAUCGUGCGAAUUCACCGGUGCACUCGCGCCAUUUUCCACCGACGCUCAAUUUUCCCCUUCGCGAUCCGGGAUCAUUUUUUUAUCCCUCUACAUCACCGUAGAACUUGAAACACAUGUAUCCACAUGUGUGUUUACACCUUUCUAAAUUUUAUUUCAAUUUAUUUCUUCUAUCUAUAUUCUUCUAAUCUAUAUCUCUUUA
Molecule: long non-coding RNA, 2540 nt
Organism: Bombus impatiens (common eastern bumble bee)
Lineage: Eukaryota; Metazoa; Arthropoda; Insecta; Hymenoptera; Apidae
Exons: 3
Source: RefSeq, a predicted model, not a curated record